GUCUAGACAUGCAUCUGACAGUGUUUGCAUUAAGGACAAGGAGCGAUGGGGUAGUAGUUGGAGACAGAUGGGAGAGUCUAGAUCCAGGUAAAUGUAUCGAUAAAUCAGUCUCCCCACACUAGGUUGUAAACUCCAAGUUGGCAGGCACUCCUGGAUUCUGGAAUAGUCCCGGGCACAUUUAAUAAAAGAAUAAAAAUGAUGCAACAGCCAUACCAACCACAUGGUGGAACAGCAGAAGUCAGGAUUUGCGCCUUGCACUGAUCCUUAAGAGACCAACCGAGGAGACUGAAGGGGGCGAGGCCUGGGCAGGAGCGUGGGCUCUGGAGGCACACCCUGGCUCUGGCUUGCUUUCUUGGUCUCUAAAUUAUGACUGGAAAACCAGUCAGGUGGCAAGGCUCAGAAAGCACUGUGAGGCUUCUUGUCCCUGGUCACCAGGCAUCGACAGAGCCCUCUGCUCUCACCUGCCCACCAGUGGCUGAAGCAUUACCAGGUCUGAGCACCUGAGGUCGCCUCGGGUCCCAGCUUCCUGCCAUAUCCUCUGGCAAGUACUGGGGCCCAGCAGGCCAGAAGGACAACUCCCAGAACUAUGGAAAUGGCCGUGGGGGAGGAACAGAGAGCACUGGAAGCAACCUCCAGCAAGACCUGAAGGAGGAGUCUAUCCAGGUCUUGUCCCACUUCUAGGGAUGUAGAAGUCCAUGCGGGCAUCAUCCCUGGUGUGCAGGUGGGGACACGGACAGGCCUUGAGAGACACAAGGACUCAUCCAGGAUGGAGAACAGUUACGAAUCGGGAGGCACUUGUUCACAGGGCUCCUCAUGGGACUGCAGACAGGAGCCAGUCCACGGAGCACCCUGCUCCAUCUCCCUGCACGAGGGGCUGGAGCCCCACACGAGCAACAGAGCCCAGGGCGGGCACAGGGUGAGUGCCAGUCGGGAGGCGAUCCUACACCCAGGAAGUUCCGGGUCCCAGAGCCACCCUGGCCC
Molecule: long non-coding RNA, 981 nt
Filed under: Bos indicus x Bos taurus (hybrid cattle)
Lineage: Eukaryota; Metazoa; Chordata; Mammalia; Artiodactyla; Bovidae
Description: lncRNA (ENSBIXG00000011730.1)
Source: RNAcentral